UACGUAGGGGGCUAGCGUUAUCCGGAAUUACUGGGCGUAAAGGGUGCGUAGGUGGUUUCUUAAGUCAGAGGUGAAAGGCUACGGCUCAACCGUAGUAAGCCUUUGAAACUGAGAAACUUGAGUGCAGGAGAGGAGAGUAGAAUUCCUAGUGUAGCGGUGAAAUGCGUAGAUAUUAGGAGGAAUACCAGUUGCGAAGGCGGCUCUCUGGACUGUAACUGACACUGAGGCACGAAAGCGUGGGGAGCAAACAGGAUUAGAUACCCACGUAGUCCCUGA
Molecule: ribosomal RNA, 276 nt
Filed under: uncultured prokaryote
Description: partial 16S ribosomal RNA
Rfam family: Bacterial small subunit ribosomal RNA
Source: RNAcentral